This 453-nucleotide ribosomal RNA is filed under the name uncultured bacterium. RNAcentral describes it as "bacterial SSU rRNA". It matches the Rfam family "Bacterial small subunit ribosomal RNA", at positions 340 to 785 of the family's 1533-position model. The record is from RNAcentral.
UACGGGAGGCAGCAGUGGGGAAUAUUGCACAAUGGGCGCAAGCCUGAUGCAGCCAUGCCGCGUGUAUGAAGAAGGCCUUCGGGUUGUAAAGUACUUUCAGUCGUGAGGAAGGUGUUAAGGUUAAUAACCUUAGCAAUUGACGUUAGCGACAGAAGAAGCACCGGCUAACUCCGUGCCAGCAGCCGCGGUAAUACGGAGGGUGCGAGCGUUAAUCGGAAUUACUGGGCUAAAGGGCACGCAGGCGGUUAAUUAAGUUGGAUGUGAAAUCCCCGGGCUUAACCUGGGAAUGGCAUUCAAGACUGGUUAGCUAGAGUCUUGUAGAGGGGGUAGAAUUCCAUGUGUAGCGGUGAAAUGCGUAGAGAUGUGGAGGAAUACCGGUGGCGAAGGCGGCCCCUGGGACAAAGACUGACGCUCAUGUGCGAAAGCGUGGGGAGCGAAACAGGGAUUAGAUAC